UCUGCAAUACACAAGAGCCAAAAUCUUGAAAACUGAAUUCUUAUGUACACAGCAGCAGUUCAAACAUCCACAUACUGUCCAACUAAAUGUGCAUCAACCUUGCUCUGGCAGGACCACUUCUUGGAGGUGAGAAGGUAGUUCAUUAUUCUUGUCCAGACAGUCCUUAGUCUUCC
RNAcentral lists this small RNA (173 nucleotides) under Chrysemys picta bellii (western painted turtle). RNAcentral's name for it is "TUC338 (ENSCPBG00000005342.1)". The record is from RNAcentral. Lineage: Eukaryota; Metazoa; Chordata; Testudines; Emydidae.